This 1450-nucleotide unclassified non-coding RNA is filed under the name Hevea brasiliensis (rubber tree). The record is from RNAcentral. Lineage: Eukaryota; Viridiplantae; Streptophyta; Magnoliopsida; Malpighiales; Euphorbiaceae.
AUAAAUCCCUGCCAACUUCUCUAUCUUCAUCAUCAUCAUCUUCACCGGCGACGACCAUCGGGCCGGGAAAUGAACUUUCCGGCGACCGAUUCUUCCAAAUCAGCACUCACUCUUCGAAUCUCCGAUCAUCGCCGCCAUGUAUUUCACGAAAAGCUUUGAUCCGAGUUCCAAAUUUCUCGUUGUUCGCUUAGUCACGAAGUUAUCCGCGUCAAUUCCAUGGAAAUUCGGGGAAAGAUGAAGAUUCAACCUAUUGAUAUUGAUCCUCCAACUGGAAGAGGUGCCAUUCGUGCUGAUCCUGGCAAACCAGUACUGAAAUCGCGUCUGAGAAAGCUAUUUGAUCGGCCGUUUCCGAAUGUUCUAAAGAAUUCUACUGCGGAAAAGCCAAUCGCGGCUGGGGAAGCUGCACAGUUCAUCAUCAACAAAGAUGGAGUCUCUGAGUUCGAGCCGAGCUCCAUUUGUUUGGCUAAAAUGGUGCAGAGUUUUAUAGAGGAGAGUAACGAGAAACAGUUGUCGGUGGCCACUGCUGGGAAGAAUGGUCGCAACCGCUGCAAUUGCUUCAACGGGAACAAUAAUGAAAGUUCUGAUGAUGAGUCCGAUGACUUCGGCGGUGGUUUUGGUGAACCUGUAACAAUCGGAUCAUCUAGUGCCGAUGUUUCUGACUUACUCAAGAGUCUGAUACUUUGCGCCAGCGUAGCUGAAAGAAACCUCUUAGCCGACACCGCAAAGAUUGUUGAGAAGAACAACAAAAUUCACAAAAGGAAAGACGAUUUGAGAAAAGUUGUCACAGAUGGUCUUUCAUCUCUCGGUUACGACUCUUCAAUCUGUAAAUCGAAAUGGGACAAAUCCCCCUCGCAUCCUGCAGGGGAAUAUGAAUACAUCGAUGUGAUGGUGGAGGGCGAGAGAUUGGUGAUAGACAUAGAUUUCAGAUCGGAGUUUGAGAUCGCUCGUUCUACCGGAAUGUACAAGGCGAUUCUCCAAUUACUCCCGAAUAUCUUCGUCGGCAAAACGGAUCGUCUAGGUCAAAUCGUAUCGAUUGUAUCAGAGGCUGCGAGACAGAGCUUGAAGAAGAAGGGGAUGCACUUUCCGCCAUGGAGGAAAGCUGAAUACAUGAGAGCUAAAUGGCUUUCCCCUCACGACAGAUCCAAACCUCCAAAUCCAUCGGUAAAGGAGAUCGAAAUCACGAACAUGAAUCAAAACGAGCAAUCGCCGACAGAGACGGAUUGCGGAGAACUCGAAUUGAUAUUCGGCGACGAAACGACGACAACGACAUCACCUAAGAGUAAUUCAAUCGCUUCAUCUCCUCCCCCUCCGCAGAAGGGUUUGUAUGGCGGCGAGAAGGCGGCGGUGGCAGUGACGGCCUGGCAACCUCCGGCGAUCAAACCGAAGAGUCUCGAUAGAGGAGCUAAGAUCGUUACGGGAUUGGCAUCAAUCCUGAAGGAGAAUCCGUAAA